AACUCUUCCGCUCCCAUCUUCUCUACCCAGCCACUUCAUCUCCUUUCUUCUCCCCUAAUUGUUUUCUUUCCAACCUCUUCUUCUCAAUUCUUCUCCCCUAAUUUUACUAUCUCAACUAUUCUUUAUUUUCGAAGUACACAAGUUGAUCCAUUGGAAGAGUUCGUUAUCUCUGAUGUAGAGCUACUACAGAUUCGAUUUCAAAGGUUUGGAGCUUUGCAUGUUAGCUCAAAAUCAUCAUCGAUGUCUUUACUAUCUCUCUUGCUAUGGUUUGUUUGUUUAGCAACAGAAUCGCAGCUGACUGAAGACAAAAAAAUGCACGAGUGUGUUUCUCUUAGUCAGAUCCCUGAUUUUCAAAGUGGGUUCUCUAGCGAUUCAAGUUUUUUAGGAUACUCAACCAGAAGUACAAGGCCUAGGGUUUUGGGUUUCAGCUAAAAGAGAAUUUCAGGAUAACCACCAUAUAUAUGAGAAAACAGACGGAAAAGAUUCAAUUACAAUGUGAAGCAAAGUUUUUGAACCUGAACAAGACCAGAUGAUUCCACUAGAAUCAGGAACGGUCGCGGCAAGACUAGAGGGAAAGGUCUUGAAAAUAUGAAGAAGGCUCAAGGAAGAAAGAUGAAAAUAGAGAUC
Solanum stenotomum is the source of this 627-nucleotide long non-coding RNA. RefSeq lists it as uncharacterized. NCBI's taxonomy places the organism in Eukaryota, Viridiplantae, Streptophyta, Magnoliopsida, Solanales, Solanaceae. The record is from RefSeq and is a predicted model, not a curated record. The transcript is spliced from 3 exons.